This 466-nucleotide ribosomal RNA is filed under the name uncultured bacterium. RNAcentral's name for it is "partial 16S ribosomal RNA". It matches the Rfam family "Bacterial small subunit ribosomal RNA", at positions 28 to 507 of the family's 1533-position model. The record is from RNAcentral.
GACGAACGCUGGCGGCGUGCUUAACACAUGCAAGUCGAACGGAAAGGCCCAGCUUGCUGGGUACUCGAGUGGCGAACGGGUGAGUAACACGUGGGUGAUCUGCCCUGGACUCUGGGAUAAGCCUGGGAAACUGGGCCUAAUACCGGAUAUGACCUUACAUCGCAUGGUGUGUGGUGGAAAGCUUUUGCGGUUCAGGAUGGGCCCGCGGCCUAUCAGCUUGUUGGUGGGGUAAUGGCCUACCAAGGCGACGACGGGUAGCCGACCUGAGAGGGUGAUCGGCCACACUGGGACUGAGACACGGCCCAGACUCCUACGGGAGGCAGCAGUGGGGAAUAUUGCACAAUGGGCGCAAGCCUGAUGCAGCGACGCCGCGUGAGGGAUGACGGCCUUCGGGUUGUAAACCUCUUUCACCAGGGACGAAGCGUGAGUGACGGUACCUGGAGAAGAAGCACCGGCCAACUACGUG